UACGUAGGUGGCGAGCGUUGUCCGGAAUUACUGGGCGUAAAGAGCGCGCAGGCGGCUGGUCAAGUCCGACGUGAAAUCUCCCGGCUUAACUGGGAAAUUGCAUCGGAAACUGAUCGGCUUGAAGGUGGGAGAGGGUAGCGGAAUUCCCGGUGUAGUGGUGAAAUGCGUAGAUAUCUGGAGGAACACCGGUGGCGAAGGCGGCAUCCUGGACCGGCAUUGACGCUGAGGCGCGAAAGCCAGGGGAGCAAACGGG
This 253-nucleotide ribosomal RNA is filed under the name uncultured bacterium. RNAcentral's name for it is "partial 16S ribosomal RNA". It matches the Rfam family "Bacterial small subunit ribosomal RNA", at positions 524 to 776 of the family's 1533-position model. The record is from RNAcentral.